UACGUAGGGGGCAAGCGUUUGUCCGGAAUCAUUGGGCGUAAAGAGCGUGUAGGCGGCCCGGUAAGUCCGCUGUGAAAGCCCCGGGCUCAACCUGGGAACCGCGCUUGAGACUGGCACGCUCGAGUUCGGGAGAGGAUGGUGGAAUUCCCAGUGUAGAGGUGAAAUUCGUAGAUAUUGGGAAGAACACCGAUGGCGAAGGCAGCCAUCUGGACCGACACUGACGCUGAGGCGCGAAAGCGUGGGGAGCAAACAGG
Molecule: ribosomal RNA, 254 nt
Filed under: uncultured bacterium
Lineage: Bacteria
Description: partial 16S ribosomal RNA
Rfam family: Bacterial small subunit ribosomal RNA
Source: RNAcentral